Molecule: ribosomal RNA, 317 nt
Filed under: uncultured Bacteroidales bacterium
Lineage: Bacteria; Pseudomonadati; Bacteroidota; Bacteroidia; Bacteroidales
Description: bacterial SSU rRNA
Rfam family: Bacterial small subunit ribosomal RNA
Source: RNAcentral
GAUGAACGCUAGCGACAGGCUUAACACAUGCAAGUCGAGGGGUAACAUGGGGGUGGCAACACUCCUGAUGACGACCGGCGCACUGGUGAGUAACACGUAUGCAACCUGCCCCCUGCAGGGGAAUAACCCAGGGAAACUUGGCCUAAUGCCGCAUAACACGUCGCGCCGCAUGGCGCGCCGUUGAAAGCUCCGGCGGCAGGGGAUGGGCAUGCGCAGCAUUAGCUAGUUGGCGGGGUGACGGCCCACCAAGGCGACGAUGCUUAGGGGUUCUGAGAGGAAGGUCCCCCACACUGGUACUGAGACACGGACCAGACUCC